RNAcentral lists this ribosomal RNA (194 nucleotides) under uncultured bacterium. Its description in RNAcentral is "partial 16S ribosomal RNA". It matches the Rfam family "Bacterial small subunit ribosomal RNA", at positions 338 to 524 of the family's 1533-position model. The record is from RNAcentral.
CCUACGGGAGGCAGCAGUGGGGAAUAUUGGACAAUGGGCGCAAGCCUGAUCCAGCCAUACCGCGUGGGUGAAGAAGGCCUUCGGGUUGUAAAGCCCUUUUGUUGGGAAAGAAAUCCAGCCGGUUAAUACCUGGUUGGGAUGACGGUACCCAAAGAAUAAGCACCGGCUAACUUCGUGCCAGCAGCCGCGGUAAU